This 256-nucleotide unclassified non-coding RNA is filed under the name plant metagenome. RNAcentral describes it as "partial contains small subunit ribosomal RNA, internal transcribed spacer 1, and 5.8S ribosomal RNA". The stretch from base 1 to 54 matches the Rfam family "Eukaryotic small subunit ribosomal RNA", at positions 1778 to 1831 of the family's 1831-position model. The record is from RNAcentral.
GGAAGUAAAAGUCGCAACAAGGUUUCCGUAGGUGAACCUGCGGAAGGAUCAUUAAUGUGUUUGGGCCUCACGGCUCUUCAUUCCGACGCUGUGCGCCUUCGGGCUGCACGCUGAGGGAGCAUAUAUCCACCCCUGUGCACACACACGGUGGCGAGCUGGGUAACGGCUCGCCGCUGAUCUUUACACACGUCUAAAAGUCAUUGUAUGUUUAUUUGAGAUAAAAACACAACUUUCAGCAACGGAUCUCUUGGCUCUC